This 225-nucleotide ribosomal RNA is filed under the name uncultured bacterium. Its description in RNAcentral is "partial 16S rRNA". It matches the Rfam family "Bacterial small subunit ribosomal RNA", at positions 505 to 729 of the family's 1533-position model. The record is from RNAcentral.
GUGCCAGCAGCCGCGGUAAUACGGAGGAUCCGAGCGUUAUCCGGAUUUAUUGGGUUUAAAGGGAGCGUAGGCGGAUGUUUAAGUCAGUUGUGAAAGUUUAAGGCUCAACCUUGAAAUUGCAGUUGAUACUGGACGUCUUGAGUGCAUUAAAUGUGGGAGGAAUUCGGUGUGUAGCGGUGAAAUGCUUAGGUAUCACGAAGAACGCCAAUUGCGAAGGCAGCUCAC